AAGGCAUUAGAUCUAGAGUCCCAAAGGUUAGAGACAAAACAAAAACAGUUUGAUGGACCUCACAGAAACUACAUGUUCCUAGCAGAGUCCUGAUACCAGAGCGUCAGUACACACCUGUUGAGUAAAUGAACAAUCGGCAUGGGAUGGAUGCUAUGGUAUUGAAUCUGCAAGCCUGUGGCUCCCUUGGAUCCCACCUUCUAGAAGAUGAAGUCUCUUCCUGUUUCUCUGUCUCAGCUCUACAUCAAGAUACUUACAUUUUUCUGCUCCAUUGCUCUCUGUGACCUGAUUUUGUUGGGCCCUUGAAACGGGCUGCACAGACCUUUCUGCCAGAUUCUGAAGCUGUUGGCCAUUUGCAUGUGCAACACAGAUGAGCGCUGAAGGUGAUCACACCAGAGAACACCAUCACUGGAGCAGGUCUGUACAGGAUAAUCCCACAGGGGACAGAGCCACAAAGAUGAGACUAUCCAUCUAAUGUGACUUCAAAGGAAACACAUAGCAUCCUUGUACUUAGUAUUUAAUUUAUUCCCCAGAAGAGAUACUGUAUAUUCUUUGUCUAAUAUUCAAUAUUAUAAAUGUACAGUAUUAUGAUUCUGUCAUAAACAGUGACCUAGGGACCUACAUACCAUUUAUGACUAGAAUCUGGUAGGCUUUCUUCCCAAGAAACAGAAAUAUAUUUACAAAUUAACCUUCAGUGUAUAACUGAUCUGUACAUUGGUAACUCAUCCUACAUAAUUCCUUUUACUCUGAACCAUGAGUAAGAAGGGACAG
Phyllostomus hastatus (greater spear-nosed bat) is the source of this 768-nucleotide long non-coding RNA. RefSeq lists it as uncharacterized. Lineage: Eukaryota; Metazoa; Chordata; Mammalia; Chiroptera; Phyllostomidae. The record is from RefSeq and is a predicted model, not a curated record. The transcript is spliced from 3 exons.